GAUUUUAAAAACUUGAUGGAAGAUGCAGAAUCAUCACUGUGGCAGACAGAUCAACUGAGCAGAAUAACUGAAUCUCAGGCUGAAUAGGAUCAUAAUGAGCCUCUAAGGAUUGAUCUUGAACAUUCAGUCUCUUUGAUUGUUGGAGACAGAAAGGAAAUUGGACACCAUCUACUCCAAACCCAUCACUUUAUCUUAGGAAUUUGAAGGUCCAACAGAAUCAAUGACUUGCCUGAGGACACAGCUCACUAGAAAUAGAGAGCUGAGCAGGAAAAGAUGGGAAGUAUUCCAGAAUUGUGGAAUGACUAUACAGGCAGAAGCCAGGCGAAAAAACAGAAGGUGACCUCACAGUGGUUUGGUUGAAUGAAACUUGAUCAAAAAUAUAAGUGAUUAAAUAAACUUUGGGGAAUGACCUUGACA
RNAcentral lists this long non-coding RNA (417 nucleotides) under Bos indicus x Bos taurus (hybrid cattle). RNAcentral describes it as "lncRNA (ENSBIXG00005022888.1)". The record is from RNAcentral. Lineage: Eukaryota; Metazoa; Chordata; Mammalia; Artiodactyla; Bovidae.